Molecule: ribosomal RNA, 478 nt
Filed under: uncultured bacterium
Lineage: Bacteria
Description: partial 16S ribosomal RNA
Rfam family: Bacterial small subunit ribosomal RNA
Source: RNAcentral
GACGAACGCUGGCGGCGUGCUUAACACAUGCAAGUCGAACGGGAUUUAGUAAACGGAAGCCUCGGUGGAAGAUUACUAAUGAGAGUGGCGAACGGGUGAGUAACGCGUGAGCAACCUGCCUAUGACAGUGGGAUAGCCUCGGGAAACCGGGAUUAAUACCGCAUAAAAUCGUAGAAUCACAUGUUUCAACGGUCAAAGAUUUAUCGGUCAUAGAUGGGCUCGCGUCUGAUUAGCUAGUUGGUGAGAUAACAGCCCACCAAGGCGACGAUCAGUAGCCGGUCUGAGAGGAUGAACGGCCACAUUGGAACUGAGACACGGUCCAAACUCCUACGGGAGGCAGCAGUGGGGAAUAUUGCACAAUGGGGGAAACCCUGAUGCAGCGACGCCGCGUGAACGAAGAAGGUAUUCGUAUCGUAAAGUUCUGUCCUAUGGGAAGAUAAUGACAGUACCAUAGAAGAAAGCUCCGGCUAAAUACGUG